This 206-nucleotide long non-coding RNA is filed under the name Lathyrus oleraceus (garden pea). RNAcentral's name for it is "Pisum sativum (pea) long non-coding RNA (PSAT_LNC036356)". Lineage: Eukaryota; Viridiplantae; Streptophyta; Magnoliopsida; Fabales; Fabaceae. The record is from RNAcentral.
UUCUCUAGAAUAGGUCUCAUAUCUAGAGGAUAAAUGACGUUUCUCCCCCUAUAAUAGCAUAGAAGAAGUCAUGAGGGAAAUGGAUACACUCACAUGAAUAUCAGGAGUAAAUCUGCUCACUCUCUGAGUAGUUACUAUUCCCAAGGAAGCUUAAGAAUCAAUCCCAGUGAGGGUGUAAUACCUCAUUAGCAUGAUCAUAAAAAAAC